This 253-nucleotide ribosomal RNA is filed under the name uncultured bacterium. Its description in RNAcentral is "partial 16S ribosomal RNA". It matches the Rfam family "Bacterial small subunit ribosomal RNA", at positions 524 to 776 of the family's 1533-position model. The record is from RNAcentral.
UACAGAGGUCUCAAGCGUUGUUCGGAUUCAUUGGGCGUAAAGGGUGCGUAGGUGGCGUCGUAAGUCAGGUGUGAAAUCUCGGGGCUUAACUCCGAAACUGCAUUUGAUACUGCGGUGCUUGAGGACUGGAGAGGAGACUGGAAUUUACGGUGUAGCAGUGAAAUGCGUAGAUAUCGUAAGGAAGACCAGUGGCGAAGGCGGGUCUCUGGACAGUUCCUGACGCUGAGGCACGAAGGCCAGGGGAGCAAACGGG